AGUGAACGCUGGCGGUAGGCCUAACACAUGCAAGUCGAACGGCAGCACAGUAAGAGCUUGCUCUUACGGGUGGCGAGUGGCGGACGGGUGAGGAAUACAUCGGAAUCUACUUUUUCGUGGGGGAUAACGUAGGGAAACUUACGCUAAUACCGCAUACGACCUACGGGUGAAAGCAGGGGAUCUUCGGACCUUGCGCGAUUGAAUGCGCCGAUGUCGGAUUAGCUAGUUGGCGGGGUAACGGCCCACCAAGGCGCCGAUCCGUAGCUGGUCUGAGAGGAUGAUCAGCCACACUGGAACUUAGACACGGUCCAGACUCCUACGAAAAGCAGCAGUGGGGAAUAUUGGACAAUGGGCGCAAGCCUGAUCCAGCCAUACCGCGUGGGUGAAGAAGGCCUUCGGGUUGUAAAGCCCUUUUGUUGGGAAAGAAAAGCAGCAGGUUAAUACCCCGCUGUUCUGACGGUACCCAAAGAAUAAGCACCGGCUAACUUCGUG
This 492-nucleotide ribosomal RNA is filed under the name uncultured bacterium. RNAcentral describes it as "partial 16S ribosomal RNA". It matches the Rfam family "Bacterial small subunit ribosomal RNA", at positions 29 to 507 of the family's 1533-position model. The record is from RNAcentral.